AGUGAACGCUGGCGGUAGGCCUAACACAUGCAAGUCGAACGGCCUCACAGUAAUUGCUUGCUCUUACGGGUGGCGAGUGUCGGACGGUGGCUGUAUACUUCGGAAUCUACUUUUUCGUGGGGGCUAACGUAGGGAAACUUCCUCUAAUACCGCAUACGACCUACGUGUGAACGCCGGGGAUCUUCGGACCUUUCGCGAUUGUAUGAGCCGAUGUCGGAUUAGCUAGUUGGCGGGUUAAAGGCCCACCAAGGCGACGAUCCGUAGCUGGUCUGAGAGGAUGAUCCGCCACCCUGGAACUGAGACACGGUACAGACUCCUACGGGAGGCAGCAGUGGGGAAUAUUGGACGAUGGGCGCAAGCCUGAUCCAGCCAUACCGCGUGAGUGAAGAAGGCCUUCGGGUUGUAAAGCCCUUUUGUUGGGAAAGAAAAGCAGCAGGUUAAUACCCCGCGAUUCUGACGGUACCCAAAGAAUAAGCACCGGCUAACUUCGUG
This 492-nucleotide ribosomal RNA is filed under the name uncultured bacterium. RNAcentral describes it as "partial 16S ribosomal RNA". It matches the Rfam family "Bacterial small subunit ribosomal RNA", at positions 29 to 507 of the family's 1533-position model. The record is from RNAcentral.